GAGAGGAGCUUGCUCUUCUUGGAUGAGUUGCGAACGGGUGAGUAACGCGUAGGUAACCUGCCUUGUAGCGGGGGAUAACUAUUGGAAACGAUAGCUAAUACCGCAUAACAAUGGAUGACACAUGUCAUUUAUUUGAAAGGGGCAAUUGCUCCACUACAAGAUGGACCUGCGUUGUAUUAGCUAGUAGGUGAGGUAAUGGCUCACCUAGGCGACGAUACAUAGCCGACCUGAGAGGGUGAUCGGCCACACUGGGACUGAGACACGGCCCAGACUCCUACGGGAGGCAGCAGUAGGGAAUCUUCGGCAAUGGGGGCAACCCUGACCGAGCAACGCCGCGUGAGUGAAGAAGGUUUUCGGAUCGUAAAGCUCUGUUGUAAGUCAAGAACGGGUGUGAGAGUGGAAAGUUCACACUGUGACGGUAGCUUACCAGAAAGGGACGGCUAACUACGUGCCAGCAGCCGCGGUAAUACGUAGGUCCCGAGCGUUGUCCGGAUUUAUUGGGCGUAAAGCGAGCGCAGGCGGUUUGAUAAGUCUGAAGUUAAAGGCUGUGGCUCAACCAUAGUUCGCUUUGGAAACUGUCAAACUUGAGUGCAGAAGGGGAGAGUGGAAUUCCAUGUGUAGCGGUGAAAUGCGUAGAUAUAUGGAGGAACACCGGUGGCGAAAGCGGCUCUCUGGUCUGUAACUGACGCUGAGGCUCGAAAGCGUGGGGAGCGAACAGGAUUAGAUACCCUGGUAGUCCACGCCGUAAACGAUGAGUGCUAGGUGUUGGAUCCUUUCCGGGAUUCAGUGCCGCAGCU
This 797-nucleotide ribosomal RNA is filed under the name uncultured bacterium. RNAcentral describes it as "SSU rRNA". It matches the Rfam family "Bacterial small subunit ribosomal RNA", at positions 71 to 853 of the family's 1533-position model. The record is from RNAcentral.